CUAACCUGCUCACUGACAAAGUUUUAAAGAGCCGCGGUAUUUUGACCGUGCAAAGGUAGCAUAAUCAUUAGUCUCUUAAUUAGGGCCUUGAAUGAAUGGUUUGACGAGAAAUCAUCUGUCUCUUAUUAAAUUAUAGAAUUUAACUUUUGAGUUAAAAGGCUUAAAUUUUUCUUUAAGACGAGAAGACCCUAUAGAGCUUAACAUUUUAUUUUUAUAUAAUGUAUAGUUUAUUUUUUUAUAUUUAAAGAUAAUGUUUUGUUGGGGUGACAUGAAGAAUAAAUAAACUCUUCAUUAUAAAAUCAUUAAUUUAUGUUUAUUAUGAUCCAUAAUUUAUGAUCAUAAGAUUUAGUUACCUUAGGGAUAACAGCGUAAUUGUUUUUGAGAGCUCAUAUUGACAAAAUAGAUUGCGACCUCGAUGUUGGAUUAAGAAUAGUUUUAGGGUGUAGGAGCCCAUAAUAAGGUCUGU
RNAcentral lists this ribosomal RNA (466 nucleotides) under Capraiuscola ebneri ebneri. RNAcentral describes it as "partial 16S ribosomal RNA". It matches the Rfam family "Archaeal large subunit ribosomal RNA", at positions 1946 to 2649 of the family's 2987-position model. Lineage: Eukaryota; Metazoa; Arthropoda; Insecta; Orthoptera; Acrididae. The record is from RNAcentral.